GCUUACGGCCACACAGCCUGGUUCACGCACGAUCUCGUUUGAUCUCGGAAGCGAAGAUAGGUUGGGCCUGGUUAGUACUUGGAUGGGAGACCGCCUAGGAAUACCAGGUGCUGUAAGCC
Ribosomal RNA from Scophthalmus maximus (turbot), 119 nucleotides. NCBI's taxonomy places the organism in Eukaryota, Metazoa, Chordata, Actinopteri, Pleuronectiformes, Scophthalmidae. The record is from Ensembl.